This 355-nucleotide long non-coding RNA is filed under the name Homo sapiens (human). RNAcentral's name for it is "non-protein coding lnc-FBXO36-1:1". The record is from RNAcentral. Lineage: Eukaryota; Metazoa; Chordata; Mammalia; Primates; Hominidae.
AUGGCCAGCUACGAGGAAGUGAGCAUGUUGGACUUUGAGGAGUUCAACCAGACUAUGAAACAGCAAAAUCACAAGACCUUUUUUGCCUUCUUUGCCAGUUCCAAGGACAUUGGAGGUAACAGAUAUAGCCCCAAUGGCAUGCGGGCCAAACCAGUUGUAGAGACGGGCUGAAGCAUGUUCGGGAAGAAUGUGCAUUCAUCUACUGCCAAGUAGGAGAAAAGCCUUAUUGGAAAGAUCCAAAUAAUGUCUUCAGGAAAAAUUUGAAAGGAGCUGCAGUGCUUAACCAUGGAACCCAGGAAAAACUGAUAGAAUCUGAGUGUCUUCAGGCCAGCAUAAUGGAAAUGUUCUCUGAAGA